AUGGCUCGCCGACUCUGCCGUCUCCCUCGCCUCCUCCUCCCCCUCGCCGCCGCCCCCAGGCCCCAGCCCCGCCUCCCCGCCCUAAACCCUAGCCCCGCCGCUCUCCUCCGUCCCUCAUCCUCCCCGACGCCGACGCCCUCCUUCCCCGCCUUCCCCCGCCUCUUCUCCUCCUCAUCCGCAGGCGAUUCCAGCAUGGUGGUCGUCGGCUCGGCGGACUCCUUCGAGGACAUCCACGCCAAGGUGCAAGUGGAGAAGCUCCCCGCCGUCUUCUACUACACGGCGGUCUGGUGCGGGCCGUGUCGGGCGAUGGCACCUGUGAUCGAGAAGAUGAGCAGGCAGUACCCCAAGAUACCAGUCUACAAGGUCGACAUCGACAUGGAGGGACUUGGGACCAGACUUAGUAACCUGAAAAUAUUCUCUGUCCCAACUUUCCACUUCUAUCACAAAGGCGAGAAGAGCAGCGAAGUGGUUGGUGCUGACGUGAAGAAGCUUGAAGCUGCCAUGGAAAGUCUUCACAAGCAACAGUGA
Molecule: ribosomal RNA, 528 nt
Filed under: Triticum aestivum (bread wheat)
Lineage: Eukaryota; Viridiplantae; Streptophyta; Magnoliopsida; Poales; Poaceae
Description: partial small subunit ribosomal RNA
Source: RNAcentral